UCGGAACAUACCCUAGAGUGGGGGAGUAACGUAGCGAAAGUUACGCUAAUACCGCAUACGCACUAAGGUGGAAAGCAGGGGAUCGCAAGACCUUGCGCUCAUGGAGUGGCCGAUGUCAGAUUAGCUAGUUGGUGGGGUAAAAGCCUACCAAGGCGACGAUCUGUAGCUGGUCUGAGAGGACGACCAGCCACACUGGAACUGAGACACGGUCCAG
This 214-nucleotide ribosomal RNA is filed under the name uncultured bacterium. RNAcentral's name for it is "partial 16S ribosomal RNA". It matches the Rfam family "Bacterial small subunit ribosomal RNA", at positions 118 to 334 of the family's 1533-position model. The record is from RNAcentral.